CCUUAAAUCACGAAGAGAAGAAUUCGCUGAAAUCCUUCACAGAUCCCAGCCCCCCAAUAAACCUCAUAGCAGUAUGUCAUACACCCAGGGCAGAUAACCAGAAUGCAUCAGGAUAAAUCUUAAUCAACACUGGAACGAUCACCACAAUCCAACCAACAACCUUGUCUUUCCAGAUGCGCGAAGUAUCCGUUGGCAUUAAUAUGUACAAAUCUACUUUAAAAAAAAAAAAGAAAAAUGAUUUUUGAUCCACUUACUCCUCCAAGCAACAUUCACGGUGCAGGGUGUGCUCUGAAAGUACCAAAGGCAUGUUAAAGACGACUCUCUCUCUCUUUCUCAAGUGUUGUCCUCAUAGAUAAUCUCCAUCAUGGAUGUCCAGUAUUCCACG
Pimephales promelas (fathead minnow) is the source of this 385-nucleotide non-coding RNA. The record is from RefSeq and is a predicted model, not a curated record. Lineage: Eukaryota; Metazoa; Chordata; Actinopteri; Cypriniformes; Leuciscidae.